GAUGAACGCUGGCGGCGUGCCUAAUACAUGCAAGUCGAGCGAACGGACGAGAAGCUUGCUUCUCUGAUGUUAGCGGCGGACGGGUGAGUAACACGUGGAUAACCUACCUAUAAGACUGGGAUAACUUCGGGAAACCGGAGCUAAUACCGGAUAAUAUUUUGAACCGCAUGGUUCAAAAGUGAAAGACGGUCUUGCUGUCACUUAUAGAUGGAUCCGCGCUGCAUUAGCUAGUUGGUAAGGUAACGGCUUACCAAGGCAACGAUGCAUAGCCGACCUGAGAGGGUGAUCGGCCACACUGGAACUGAGACACGGUCCAGACUCCUACGGGAGGCAGCAGUAGGGAAUCUUCCGCAAUGGGCGAAAGCCUGACGGAGCAACGCCGCGUGAGUGAUGAAGGUCUUCGGAUCGUAAAACUCUGUUAUUAGGGAAGAACAUAUGUGUAAGUAACUGUGCACAUCUUGACGGUACCUAAUCAGAAAGCCACGGCUAACUACGUGCCAGCAGCCGCGGUAAUACGUAGGUGGCAAGCGUUAUCCGGAAUUAUUGGGCGUAAAGCGCGCGUAGGCGGUUUUUUAAGUCUGAUGUGAAAGCCCACGGCUCAACCGUGGAGGGUCAUUGGAAACUGGAAAACUUGAGUGCAGAAGAGGAAAGUGGAAUUCCAUGUGUAGCGGUGAAAUGCGCAGAGAUAUGGAGGAACACCAGUGGCGAAGGCGACUUUCUGGUCUGUAACUGACGCUGAUGUGCGAAAGCGUGGGGAUCAAACAGGAUUAGAUACCCUGGUAGUCCACGCCGUAAACGAUGAGUGCUAAGUGUUAGGGGGUUUCCGCCCCUUAGUGCUGCAGCUAACGCAUUAAGCACUCCGCCUGGGGAGUACGACCGCAAGGUUGAAACUCAAAGGAAUUGACGGGGACCCGCACAAGCGGUGGAGCAUGUGGUUUAAUUCGAAGCAACGCGAAGAACCUUACCAAAUCUUGACAUCCUUUGACAACUCUAGAGAUAGAGCUUUCCCCUUCGGGGGACAAAGUGACAGGUGGUGCAUGGUUGUCGUCAGCUCGUGUCGUGAGAUGUUGGGUUAAGUCCCGCAACGAGCGCAACCCUUAAGCUUAGUUGCCAUCAUUAAGUUGGGCACUCUAAGUAGACUGCCGGUGACAAACCGGAGGAAGGUGGGGAUGACGUCAAAUCAUCAUGCCCCUUAUGAUUUGGGCUACACACGUGCUACAAUGGACAAUACAAAGGGCAGCGAAACCGCGAGGUCAAGCAAAUCCCAUAAAGUUGUUCUCAGUUCGGAUUGUAGUCUGCAACUCGACUACAUGAAGCUGGAAUCGCUAGUAAUCGUAGAUCAGCAUGCUACGGUGAAUACGUUCCCGGGUCU
Molecule: ribosomal RNA, 1372 nt
Filed under: uncultured bacterium
Lineage: Bacteria
Description: bacterial SSU rRNA
Rfam family: Bacterial small subunit ribosomal RNA
Source: RNAcentral